GUGAGGGAGGGUGUGACUAGUGACAGUUAGGCAGGGAAGGGGUGACUAGUGACAGAGGGAGGGGUGACAGAGUGAGGGAGGUGGUGACUAGUGACCGUCACCACCUCCCUCACUCUGUCACUAGUCACCACCUCCCUCCGUCACUGUGUCACCCCCUCCCUCACUCUGUCACCAGUCAUCUCCUUACUCUGUCACUAGUCACCCCUCCCUUCCCUCAC
This 218-nucleotide small RNA is filed under the name Pelobates cultripes (western spadefoot toad). The record is from RNAcentral. Lineage: Eukaryota; Metazoa; Chordata; Amphibia; Anura; Pelobatidae.